UAGCUUAGUUGGUAGAGUGUUUGCCUCACAUGCACAAGGCCUUGGGUUCAAUCCCCAG
RNAcentral lists this transfer RNA (58 nucleotides) under Ictidomys tridecemlineatus (thirteen-lined ground squirrel). Its description in RNAcentral is "Spermophilus tridecemlineatus (thirteen-lined ground squirrel) tRNA". It matches the Rfam family "tRNA", at positions 8 to 63 of the family's 71-position model. Rfam says of the family: Transfer RNA (tRNA) molecules are approximately 80 nucleotides in length. The record is from Rfam by way of RNAcentral. Lineage: Eukaryota; Metazoa; Chordata; Mammalia; Rodentia; Sciuridae.